GAUGAACGCUGGCGGCGUGCCUAAUACAUGCAAGUCGAGCGAACAGAUGAGGAGCUUGCUCCUCUUACGUUAGCGGCGGACGGGUGAGUAACACGUGGAUAACCUACCUAUAAGACUGGGAUAACUUCGGGAAACCGGAGCUAAUACCGGAUAAUAUAUUGAACCGCAUGGUUCAAUAGUGAAAGACGGUUUUGCUGUCACUUAUAGAUGGAUCCGCGCCGCAUUAGCUAGUUGGUAAGGUAACGGCUUACCAAGGCAACGAUGCGUAGCCGACCUGAGAGGGUGAUCGGCCACACUGGAACUGAGACACGGUCCAGACUCCUACGGGAGGCAGCAGUAGGGAAUCUUCCGCAAUGGGCGAAAGCCUGACGGAGCAACGCCGCGUGAGUGAUGAAGGUCUUCGGAUCGUAAAACUCUGUUAUUAGGGAAGAACAAAUGUGUAAGUAACUAUGCACGUCUUGACGGUACCUAAUCAGAAAGCCACGGCUAACUACGUG
This 497-nucleotide ribosomal RNA is filed under the name uncultured bacterium. RNAcentral's name for it is "partial 16S ribosomal RNA". It matches the Rfam family "Bacterial small subunit ribosomal RNA", at positions 28 to 507 of the family's 1533-position model. The record is from RNAcentral.